GAGCAAUGAUGAAAAAAGAUUUCACUACUGACCUUUGUAACUAUGAAGGUUUCUACACUUGACCUGAGCUCA
This is a small nucleolar RNA of Fukomys damarensis (Damara mole-rat), 72 nucleotides long. The record is from Ensembl. Lineage: Eukaryota; Metazoa; Chordata; Mammalia; Rodentia; Bathyergidae.